ACGAACGCUGGCGGCGUGCUUCACACAUGCCAGUCGAACGGAAAGGCCCUGCUUUUGUGGGGUGCUCGAGUGGCGAACGGGUGAGUAACACGUGAGUAACCUGCCCUUGACUUUGGGAUAACUUCAGGAAACUGGGGCUAAUACCGGAUAGGAGCUCCUGCUGCAUGGUGGGGGUUGGAAAGUUUCGGCGGUUGGGGAUGGACUCGCGGCUUAUCAGCUUGUUGGUGGGGUAGUGGCUUACCAAGGCUUUGACGGGUAGCCGGCCUGAGAGGGUGACCGGCCACAUUGGGACUGAGAUACGGCCCAGACUCCUACGGGAGGCAGCAGUGGGGAAUAUUGCACAAUGGGCGGAAGCCUGAUGCAGCAACGCCGCGUGCGGGAUGACGGCCUUCGGGUUGUAAACCGCUUUCGCCUGUGACGAAGCGUGAGUGACGGUAAUGGGUAAAGAAGCACCGGCUAACUACG
This 465-nucleotide ribosomal RNA is filed under the name uncultured bacterium. Its description in RNAcentral is "partial 16S ribosomal RNA". It matches the Rfam family "Bacterial small subunit ribosomal RNA", at positions 29 to 505 of the family's 1533-position model. The record is from RNAcentral.